GAUGAACGCUAGCUACAGGCUUAACACAUGCAAGUCGCGGGGCAGCAUGGGGGUUGCUUGCAAUCCCCGAUGGCGACCGGCGCACGGGUGAGUAACGCGUAUCCAACUUGCCCUUCACCACGGGAUAACCCGGCGAAAGUCGGACUAAUACCGUAUGUUGUCCAUUGACGGCAUCCGAUUUGGACGAAAGGUUUGGCGGUGAGGGAUGGGGAUGCGUCCGAUUAGCUGGACGGCGGGGUGACGGCCCACCGUGGCGACGAUCGGUAGGGGUUCUGAGAGGAAGGUCCCCCACACUGGAACUGAGACACGGUCCAGACUCCUACGGGAGGCGGCAGUGAGGAAUAUUGGUCAAUGGGCGUAAGCCUGAACCAGCCAAGUAGCGUGCAGGAUGACGGCCCUAUGGGCUGUAAACUGCUUUUAUGCGGGGAUAAAGUGGCCCACGUGUGGGUUUUUGCAGGUACCGCAUGAAUAAGGACCGGCUAAUUCCGUG
RNAcentral lists this ribosomal RNA (490 nucleotides) under uncultured bacterium. RNAcentral describes it as "partial 16S ribosomal RNA". It matches the Rfam family "Bacterial small subunit ribosomal RNA", at positions 28 to 507 of the family's 1533-position model. The record is from RNAcentral.